Lolium rigidum is the source of this 1292-nucleotide long non-coding RNA. RefSeq lists it as uncharacterized. The transcript has 3 exons. The record is from RefSeq and is a predicted model, not a curated record. NCBI's taxonomy places the organism in Eukaryota, Viridiplantae, Streptophyta, Magnoliopsida, Poales, Poaceae.
UCAUCAUGGAAAGUCCCUAUCUAAAUGCGUUGGUAGGAUGGUCUAUUCUUUACAAUUGGGGGAGUAUUAUAAAUAUAUUGCAGAAACUCAUUUGUACCUUCCAUUUUAGCUACCACCUAUUAUAGGUGAGUCAUUUUGUUAAGCAGCAACUAAUUUAUUUUUCAGUGUUGCCUCUUUGGUUCAAAUUGCGGAAGCCCACAUUUCACUGCCUCACUGUUUCAAAAUGGUACACUUAUAUAGUUACAGUAUCCUGUGAAAUUAAGUACUUGACCGUUGGCGUAUGUUCGCCUUAAUCAUCCUCCAUUGCCGUCUGGACCAGUCCAGUAUAUAUAUGAACCGACAUCUUAUGACACGAUAUUAUUUACCAUGUAAUCCAGUGCAGAUGCCGUUAUCCACUUAGGUAUCACAACUUAUGUUAUGUUCCUUAUCAUAUUUCUAAUGAAUUUUCAGAGACACUGAUCUUGAAACUGCUGUAAUUCAACAGCCUAUGAACAAUCGAACAUACAUAGGUAAUCAUACCUUCAUACCUUGGAUCUUCCCACGAUACAGAACAAUAGCCCAAUCACUUCAACUUUUUUUUUGCAAGGCACUUCUAACUAUUUUAACACAUUGUUUACCAUCUGUUUACUAUUAGACUUCCACAUCAGCCAUAAUUUAAAAUGAUUUAAAGUAUCCUUUAUUCAGUUUUGAACAUAAAAAUUCAGUGAAAAUAAUAAUUCAAUUUUGGACAUCUUUUCCUCCGCAACAUUAUGAUGCAUAUGGUCAUUGUGUAAUAGAAUGUGUUUUCAGGGAGUAAAAUGGCUAGGUGUCGAGGAAAUCCUGAGAAAAAUUGGAGUACAAUCAGAUCUUGGAAGAUUAUUUGCAUGGACAAACACUUAGCUCUUCUAAACAAGAAUUUGCUACUUCUGGACCAUCAUCGUGGGGGCCUCCUGAAGAUUGCUUGUACCUGAAUUUUCUGCUGUUGCGCUCUGUCAUUGGAAAUCCGUCCAGCUGCCCACUGGUGAAUCCUGUUGAUCGUUGGCGCCAGGAGAUUGCCUGUGAGAAACUCAUUCAAAUAAGAUUGUACAUGGAUCUGUCGAUGUCGAACUAUUCUUAGAGGCUGCACUUGGUUUAUAUUGUGGAAAAGUAAACAAACCUGACAGGCUAAAGGCUCUUUUACUUCUUGCACGCUCCAUUAAGGCAGAUCCAAGCACAGUUAUCUUGUGGGUGUUUUAUCUUCAUAUUUACUAUCAAAAGGAUGAAGGACUUGGAACAAUUUAAGUGAACUGCAGGAGGGUGGGCGGAGGGCGCGC